RNAcentral lists this ribosomal RNA (492 nucleotides) under uncultured bacterium. Its description in RNAcentral is "partial 16S ribosomal RNA". It matches the Rfam family "Bacterial small subunit ribosomal RNA", at positions 28 to 507 of the family's 1533-position model. The record is from RNAcentral.
GAUGAACGCUAGCUACAGGCUUAACACAUGCAAGUCGAGGGGAAACGACAUCGAAAGCUUGCUUUUGAUGGGCGUCGACCGGCGCACGGGUGAGUAACGCGUAUCCAACCUGCCCAUCACUUGGGAAUAACCUUGCGAAUGUAAGACUAAUACCCAAUGACAUCCCACGAAGACAUCUGAAUGGGAUUUAAGAUUUAUCGGUGAUGGAUGGGGAUGCGUCUGAUUAGCUUGUUGGCGGGGUAACGGCCAACCAAGGCAACGAUCAGUAGGGGUUCUGAGAGGAAGGUCCCCCACAUUGGAGCUGAGACACGGUCCAAACUCCUACGGGAGGCAGCAGUGAGGAAUAUUGGUCAAUGGGCGAGAGCCUGAACCAGCCAAGUAGCGUGCAGGAUGACGGCCCUAUGGGUUGUAAACUGCUUUUAUAAGGGAAUAAAGUGGGUCUCGUGAGACUUUUUGCAUGUACCUUAUGAAUAAGGACCGGCUAAUUCCGUG